RNAcentral lists this ribosomal RNA (468 nucleotides) under uncultured bacterium. RNAcentral describes it as "partial 16S ribosomal RNA". It matches the Rfam family "Bacterial small subunit ribosomal RNA", at positions 28 to 507 of the family's 1533-position model. The record is from RNAcentral.
GACGAACGCUGGCGGCGUGCUUAACACAUGCAAGUCGAACGGAACGGCCCGGCUUUUGUGGGGUGCUCGAGUGGCGAACGGGUGAGUAACACGUGAGUAACCUGCCCUUGACUUUGGGAUAACUUCAGGAAACUGGGGCUAAUACCGGAUAGGAGCUCUUGCUGCUUGGUGGGGGUUGGAAAGUUUCGGUGGUUGGGGAUGGACUGGCGGCUUAUCAGCUUGUUGCUGUGGUAGUGGCUGACCAAGGCUUGGACCGGUAGCCGGCCUGGGAGGGUGACCGGCCACAUUGGGACUGGGAUGCGGCCCAGACUCCUACGGGAGGCAGGGGUGGGGAAUAGUACACAGGGGGCGGGAGGCUGAUGUAGCAACGCCGCGUGGGGGAUGACGGCCUGCGGGUUGUAAACCGCUUUCGCCUGUGACGAGGCGUGAGUGACGGUAAUGGGUGAAGAAGCACCGGCUAACUACGUG